This 765-nucleotide ribosomal RNA is filed under the name uncultured Streptococcus sp. Its description in RNAcentral is "bacterial SSU rRNA". It matches the Rfam family "Bacterial small subunit ribosomal RNA", at positions 28 to 776 of the family's 1533-position model. Lineage: Bacteria; Bacillati; Bacillota; Bacilli; Lactobacillales; Streptococcaceae. The record is from RNAcentral.
GACGAACGCUGGCGGCGUGCCUAAUACAUGCAAGUAGAACGCUGAAGAGAGGAGCUUGCUCUUCUUGGAUGAGUUGCGAACGGGUGAGUAACGCGUAGGUAACCUGCCUUGUAGCGGGGGAUAACUAUUGGAAACGAUAGCUAAUACCGCAUAACAAUGGAUGACACAUGUCAUUUAUUUGAAAGGGGCAAUUGCUCCACUACAAGAUGGACCUGCGUUGUAUUAGCUAGUAGGUGAGGUAACGGCUCACCUAGGCGACGAUACAUAGCCGACCUGAGAGGGUGAUCGGCCACACUGGGACUGAGACACGGCCCAGACUCCUACGGGAGGCAGCAGUAGGGAAUCUUCGGCAAUGGGGGCAACCCUGACCGAGCAACGCCGCGUGAGUGAAGAAGGUUUUCGGAUCGUAAAGCUCUGUUGUAAGUCAAGAACGAGUGUGAGAGUGGAAAGUUCACACUGUGACGGUAGCUUACCAGAAAGGGACGGCUAACUACGUGCCAGCAGCCGCGGUAAUACGUAGGUCCCGAGCGUUGUCCGGAUUUAUUGGGCGUAAAGCGAGCGCAGGCGGUUUGAUAAGUCUGAAGUUAAAGGCUGUGGCUCAACCAUAGUUCGCUUUGGAAACUGUCAAACUUGAGUGCAGAAGGGGAGAGUGGAAUUCCAUGUGUAGCGGUGAAAUGCGUAGAUAUAUGGAGGAACACCGGUGGCGAAAGCGGCUCUCUGGUCUGUAACUGACGCUGAGGCUCGGAAGCGUGGGGAGCGAACAGG